GAUGAACGCUGGCGGCGUGCUUAACACAUGCAAGUCGAACGGAAAGGCCCAAGCUUGCUUGGGUACUCGAGUGGCGAACGGGUGAGUAACACGUGGGUGAUCUGCCCUGCACUUCGGGAUAAGCCUGGGAAACUGGGUCUAAUACCGGAUAGGACCACUUCUUGGAUGUUGUGGUGGAAAGUUUUUUCGGUGUGGGAUGAGCUCGCGGCCUAUCAGCUUGUUGGUGGGGUAAUGGCCUACCAAGGCGUCGACGGGUAGCCGGCCUGAGAGGGUGUACGGCCACAUUGGGACUGAGAUACGGCCCAGACUCCUACGGGAGGAAGGAGGGGGGAAUAUUGCAAAAUGGGCGCAAGCCUGAUGCAGCGACGCCGGGUGGGGGAUGACGGCCUUCGGGUUUUAAACUCUUUUCGCUAGGGACGAAGCGUUUUGUGACGGUACCUGGAAAAGAAGCACCGGCUAACUACGU
Molecule: ribosomal RNA, 466 nt
Filed under: uncultured bacterium
Lineage: Bacteria
Description: partial 16S ribosomal RNA
Rfam family: Bacterial small subunit ribosomal RNA
Source: RNAcentral